RNAcentral lists this unclassified non-coding RNA (336 nucleotides) under soil metagenome. RNAcentral describes it as "partial contains 5.8S ribosomal RNA, internal transcribed spacer 2, and large subunit ribosomal RNA". The stretch from base 1 to 120 matches the Rfam family "5.8S ribosomal RNA", at positions 35 to 154 of the family's 154-position model. The record is from RNAcentral.
GAUGAAGAACGCAGCGAAAUGCGAUAAGUAAUGUGAAUUGCAGAAUUCAGUGAAUCAUCGAAUCUUUGAACGCACAUUGCGCCCGCCAGUAUUCUGGCGGGCAUGCCUGUUCGAGCGUCAUUUCAACCAUCAAGCCCCAGGCUUGUGUUGGGGACCUGCGGCUGCCGCAGGCCCUGAAAACCAGUGGCGGGCUCGCUGUCACACCGGGCGUAGUAGAUUUUAUCUCGCUCAGGGCGUGCUGCGGGUUCCGGCCGUUAAAAAGCCUUUUUUACCCAAGGUUGACCUCGGAUCAGGUAGGAUGACCCGCUGAACUUAAGCAUAUCAAUAAGCGGAGGA